Molecule: long non-coding RNA, 1656 nt
Organism: Apteryx rowi (Okarito brown kiwi)
Lineage: Eukaryota; Metazoa; Chordata; Aves; Apterygiformes; Apterygidae
Source: Ensembl
GAAAAUUUAAGAUGGUUAAUCCUACCAAUACAGCCAGUCCCCUCUGCUGAGAUCACCUAGAAAGACAACUAGUUAUUGCCAUAUAUGUGAAAGGUGGUGAUAUUUUUUUUUUCUUGAUAUGGAAGAUACUGGCAUGCAACUAUCACAUUCUUUUCAGGGAGAUUACUGACCUGCUGUGGUAGAGCUGUGCAAGUGGUUGCUGGUUUAAACAGAUUUUUAUCAUCGAUGAUCAUAACUUCUGCAAAGUUUCAAAAACAAAUAGCAAACCAAAACAAAAGGAAGAACAAAUUUCCAAGGGAAGUAGGGACUUCUCUGCCUCCUGAAGUAAUCAGAUGCAUUUUUGACAGAUACAUUGCAGCCAAGCACAGAUUGCUGCACUCACCAUAGGAAUAGCUGGAUGAAAAGUAGAUGGCAUUUGCUAGAAGGUCAAAGCUCUAACUAAUGCCUUAUUCACCCUUCAAGCAAACAUGGUUGAAGCAUAUUAGCAAAGAGACAUUGCUCAUCCAAACAACAAGCUGCUUUCUUUCCCCAGAAUGAGGAUUUAUAUCAUGGUUUACCAGUCUGAUACAAGUUUUGAACUCACACUGUGGCUGGGACUGUGCUAUUUCUGCCUGGUAUUCUCUGAAUAGGAAGCUGGGAGCUGUAGAGUGCAUCACCACUACCUUCCAGAGCGCAUCGCAACUAAUGAGUGUGAACUGCACAGCCAACCUGUCCAUGCAUGGCAAAUCCCAAGAUGCUCUUGGACUAUACAGUAUUGACUAGGUCGCACGUCCUGGAAAAGUCAGCAUGGCCACAGCGUGCUGUGCAAGUGCUGCGGGAGCAAUCAGUAAGAGGUCCCUAAGAAUGGGACCCACCGUGCAGACAGGAGUCUGUUAACCCACCAACCACCAACCUCCCAAACAACAGCUGAAGGUGGAGGUGGAGGGCAGAGGAUUCUGGCUUCACUGACUGGCUUUUGUGGGUUUCCCCCGGCUUGUAGGCUGUUGGAGCCAGGCUCAGCCUCCCUCGCCCCGCGCUGGAUUUCCRGCGUUGUCUCCCUGCUGGCUGCAACGCCCGGCUGCUCUUUCCCUCCCGCAUGCUGCCCUUCUCAGGGACUAACUGUGGCUCCAGAGCAGAUUAGGCUCGGUUUGGUACCUGCAAGAAAUUUUGCUUCAAGAGACAAAGAAGAGCUGAAGUGCUGAAAGAUUUGCAUCUGUUAUGGACUUGACUUAUUUUGAUUAAAAAAUGCUUUUACCCUGUUUCAUUAUUUUUCUGACAGUUACACCCUGAAAAACCAGAGUGUCAGUGGGAGUGGGAUUUUCUCAGAAGGUACCACACUUAAAAGCAAUUAGGUGUGUGACUGAAGGCAGUUAGCACAUGGGAUAUUCCCCAACAAAAYAGGCUCAGCAUUGAAGGUGUGUUUGCAUAGCAUGCUUUUCAUUGCAUCAAACACUAUCAGGAUGCCAGGAAUAUUUCCCAAAUUCUGAAAUUCAGCCUUAAAGAACCACCCCUCCAARAGAACUGGCUGAUCUAAUCAGAAGUGGAGUGUGUCUCACUGGCUACUCUGUGCGGAUCCACAAAACCAGCUAACCUGGUGCUUUCUAUCUCCCCCACCCUGUUUGCAAAGCCAGGCAGUGCCUACUGUGAUAUACAAAAAUAAAGAAACCAGAAUAGGCA